GAGUCUAAGCAGAAGCUUGAGCCUCAGCCAGAGCCACCGUCGACACACUCUCCUUCCAAAUCCGUCGCCCCUUCCAGGAACCCAUUGCAAUUCUGGUUAUAUUUCACACUUUUUACCUCCCUCAUUACUCUAGUCUGCGUCAUUCUCUCUUCUUUAUCCUCCCAAGAUCCCCAGACUUGGUUCCUCAAUCUUCCACCCGAUCUUCGUCUCCACUAUUCCAGUGGUCGCAGCAUCAAGGUACAAACAGCCCCUAAUCACCCCCAAGUUGAAGUCUUUUCCAUUCAGCAGGGACCCACUAACUCGGAUAGCCAUGUUUUGAUUGUACAUGGCAUAGGCUGCAGCUCUCUUGCUUUUCGCGGAGUUGUUAAGUUUUUAGGUCUUAGAAAUGUCCACGCCAUGGCUCUUGAUCUUCCAGGCUCAGGGUUCUCGGAUAAAUCUUAUGUUGUGGUUGAAGAGAAUGUGGGCGGGAAUGGCUUUUUCGGUAGAAUGUGGGAUGUUUAUGCGGAGGUAAAGGACAAGGGCCUGUUUUGGGGAUUUGAUCAGCUUGUUGAACAAGGGUAUGUCAACUUUGAGGAGAAUGAGAUUCUUGUUUCGAAGAAAGAGAGCAUUA
This 610-nucleotide small RNA is filed under the name Oreocharis henryana. Its description in RNAcentral is "partial 100 non-coding RNA". Lineage: Eukaryota; Viridiplantae; Streptophyta; Magnoliopsida; Lamiales; Gesneriaceae. The record is from RNAcentral.